Molecule: transfer RNA, 72 nt
Filed under: Chloroflexota bacterium
Lineage: Bacteria; Bacillati; Chloroflexota
Description: Chloroflexi bacterium (sediment metagenome) tRNA-Arg
Rfam family: tRNA
About the family: Transfer RNA (tRNA) molecules are approximately 80 nucleotides in length. Their secondary structure includes four short double-helical elements and three loops (D, anti-codon, and T loops).
Source: RNAcentral
GCCCCUGUAGCUCAGUGGAUAGAGCGUUGGCCUCCGGAGCCAAAGAGCGCAGUUCGAGUCUGCGCAGGGGUA